RNAcentral lists this transfer RNA (74 nucleotides) under Gammaproteobacteria bacterium. RNAcentral's name for it is "tRNA-Arg". It matches the Rfam family "tRNA". Rfam says of the family: Transfer RNA (tRNA) molecules are approximately 80 nucleotides in length. Lineage: Bacteria; Pseudomonadati; Pseudomonadota; Gammaproteobacteria. The record is from RNAcentral.
GCGCCCGUAGCUCAGCUGGAUAGAGUACUUGGCUACGAACCAGGCGGUCGGAGGUUCGAAUCCUUCCGGGCGCG